RNAcentral lists this ribosomal RNA (274 nucleotides) under uncultured bacterium. Its description in RNAcentral is "partial 16S ribosomal RNA". It matches the Rfam family "Bacterial small subunit ribosomal RNA", at positions 523 to 796 of the family's 1533-position model. The record is from RNAcentral.
AUACGGAGGGUGCAAGCGUUAUCCGGAAUCAUUGGGUUUAAAGGGUCCGUAGGCGGACUAAUAAGUCAGGGGUGAAAUCCCACAGCUUAACUGUGGAACUGCCUUUGAUACUGUUAGUCUUGAGUUAUAUGGAAGUAGAUAGAAUGUGUAGUGUAGCGGUGAAAUGCUUAGAGAUUACACAGAAUACCGAUUGCGAAGGCAGUCUACUACAUAUAUACUGACGCUAAUGGACGAAAGCGUGGGGAGCGAACAGGAUUAGAAACCCCUGUAGUCC